This 442-nucleotide ribosomal RNA is filed under the name uncultured bacterium. Its description in RNAcentral is "bacterial SSU rRNA". It matches the Rfam family "Bacterial small subunit ribosomal RNA", at positions 335 to 795 of the family's 1533-position model. The record is from RNAcentral.
ACUCCUACGGGAGGCAGCAGUUAGGAAUAUUCGGCAAUGGGGGAAACCCUGACCGAGCGACACUGCGUGAAGGAGGAAGGCCUUAGGGUUGUAAACUUCUGAACGAGAGACGAUAAUGACGGUAUCUCGGUAAUAGCACCGGCUAACUCCGUGCCAGCAGCCGCGGUAAUACGGAGGGUGCGAGCGUUAAUCGGAAUUACUGGGCGUAAAGCGUGCGCAGGGCGGUUUGUUAAGCGAGAUGUGAAAGCCCCGGGCUCAACCUCGGAAUUGCAUUUGAAACUGGCAGACUAGAGUACUGUAGAGGGGGUAGAAUUUCAGGUGUAGCGGUGAAAUGCGUAGAGAUCGGAAGGAACACCAGUGGCGAAGGCGGCUACCUGGACUAAUACUGACACUGAGGCACGAAAGCGUGGGUAGCAAACAGGAUUAGAUACCCUGGUAGGUC